This 253-nucleotide ribosomal RNA is filed under the name uncultured bacterium. Its description in RNAcentral is "partial 16S ribosomal RNA". It matches the Rfam family "Bacterial small subunit ribosomal RNA", at positions 524 to 776 of the family's 1533-position model. The record is from RNAcentral.
GACAGAGGGUGCAAACGUUGUUCGGAAUUACUGGGCGUAAAGCGCGUGUAGGCUGCUCAGAAAGUCGGAUGUGAAAGCCCUGGGCUUAACCUAGGAAGUGCAUUCGAAACUUCUGAGCUUGAGUUCUGGAGAGGAAGGCGGAAUUCUCGGUGUAGAGGUGAAAUUCGUAGAUAUCGAGAGGAACACCGGUGGCGAAGGCGGCCUUCUGGACAGUGACUGACGCUGAGGCACGAAAGCUAGGGGAGCAAACAGG